This 112-nucleotide ribosomal RNA is filed under the name Caerostris darwini. The record is from RNAcentral. Lineage: Eukaryota; Metazoa; Arthropoda; Arachnida; Araneae; Araneidae.
AACGGCCGUACCAUGCUGAAUAUACCGGUUCUCGUUAGAUCACCGAAGUUAAGCAUCAUUGGGCGCGGUCAGUACUUGGCCGGGUGACCACCUGGGAACACUGCGUGCCGUU